GCAAACAGCUUUUAUCUCAUGUGUGUAACAACACACCAAGCGAAAAAAAUAAAUACAAAAUGAAAUGAAUUAAUAAAACUCAUUGUGAACUGGUCGCAGCCGGAGUAGAAGAGAAUUUUUAGAUUAUUGUGAAAUCAUUUAAGUUUGCCCUCUUCGUUAAGCUGGUUGGCUUGUUUGCCGUGUAGUGUGUGCCAGAGUUUAGUUCUGAAAACGCGUCGUGUUUUGUUUGUAGAGACAGACAUCGUCGGUCUGUCCGCCGUCCGUGUGGUGUGGUGAUACACGUUACUCCAUCGUUCCUUGCUACUCUCAAUGGAAAGAAAAAACAAAAUAAACAAUUUUCGUUUUCUUAGAUUUGUUGUGCACCGCGCUAGAGAAGUGUUUGUUGUCAUAAACAAAGAGGAGGUGCAGGAGGAGCGAAGUAAAUAGCGCCUUGUGGUCAGAAGGGUAGAAUUUCUUUUUUUCGUGGAAAAAUGCACAACUCAUAUAAUUCGUUAAAACAAAUGUCCUCCUCCGAUGGUGAUGAUGGUAGUGGUGUUAACAACAAAAAUAAAGCGGCAGCGCCUCCUCCGGCCAAACGACAAAUAAGUAUGACGACGAAUCCCUUUUGUUUAAGUAUAGUUCACAAAAUAAAUGCUAAAGUACCUGCACGAGUUGUUCUGUAUAUGCUGUCAUGGACGGGAUUCCUGGUGUCGUUUAUGAUGCGCAACGAUAUGCACCUGGCCAUAGUGGCCAUGACAACUCCAACAAAUACAACAACGAUAAAAGUAUCCCCCAAUGGGGUUGGUGCUCACAAUGACACAUUGCAAAAUAUUCUCAAUGGGGUGGUCAGCAGCACUUCCGUAAACAGCACGACAUCAACAACAAUGACACCACCGCUAGCUAAUGCUGGUGGUGGUGGUAGCGAAAUGCCAGUCAAUGUCGCUGGACAUGUAGUAGAACAGGAACUAGACUACUAUGACUGGUCCUCCUCGGUGCAGUCGAUUAUUACAAGCUCAUUCUUUUGGUGUUAUGUGCUAUCGCAAGUUUUCGGCGGCAUAGCCACACAGCACUUUGGAACUAAGAAGGUAUUUGGCUGGUCACAGUUUGCUACGGCCCUUUGCAGUCUGCUGAUGCCGGUAUGUGCUGAUAUACAUUAUGGCCUACUCAUAGCCCUGCGAUCGAUACAGGGUUGUGCCUCGGGCCUCACCUGGCCGGCCAUGUAUGCCGUUGUGGGCUUUUGGAUACCUUUGAUUGAACGCUCACGUUUCAUGUCCAGCUUUCAGGGUUUCAGCAUUGGCACCGGCCUCACCUAUGUUCUGGGUGGCUUUAUUACCAAACGUUUUGGUUGGCAAUAUGUGUUCUAUACAACCGGCUCGCUGGGUAUGUUGUGGUGCGCGUUCUGGUUUCUGCUGGCUUACAAUACGCCUCAGGAGCAUCCUCGCAUAACGCGCGAAGAAUUGGAGUAUAUUGAAAUCAACAUCAGUAGCGAAACGAAAAAGUCUCUGGGAAAGAAAGUGCCUUGGAAAGAUAUAAUUACCUCGAAACCCGCCUUGGCCAUAGGCAUAACAACAUUUGGCCGCAUUUGGAUACACUAUGUGUUCAUUAUAAAUGGACCCAAUUUUAUGAAGAACAUUCUUCACUUCGAUAUAGAAGCCAACGGAGUACUCUCCGGCAUGCCGCACAUCUCCUCCUAUAUAUCGUCCGUGAUCUUUUGCUAUAUUGCGGAUUUGCUAUUACAUCGAAACAUAAUGACAUUGACAAAUAUACGAAAACUCUUUACGGCUCUCUCUCAAAUUGUACCUGGUGUUUUGAUCCUAUCCAUUGGCUACUUAGAUGAUAUUGUGCUGUUAUUGGUCAUAUGGUUCAUCACGGUGUCCUUUAUUACAGCCUCCUAUGCUGGAGCCAUGGCGAACAUAGUGGAUAUUGCGCCAAAUUUUGCCGGACCGGUAUUGGCUUUUUGCCAAACCAUACAUAUGUCGGCCUCAUUCCUUUCGCCCUUGGCUUCGGGCAUGAUCCUUCGGACAGACACCGAUAUCGAUCAAUGGCGUACGGUGUUCAUUGUGGCCGCUAUUGUUACCAUAAGUACAUACAGUUCCUAUCAAAUUUACGGCACUGCCGAAAUACAAAAAUGGGACAAUGUUGAUGAUUCAUCGGUCAAUGGUGAUGUGUCCUGUGAAUCAGGAACGGCGGUGCCUGGCGUUACAACCAUAAUACCUAAUGACGACGAUGAUGAUGAUGAUGAUGACGAUGUCGGCGAGUUUGAGUCGCAGGACACGGAGCAUAAUAGAAUGUUAAAAACUGGUAAAAUCGAUGCUAAACCCGGCCCGCUCCGCUGCGCCUUCUUUUACACCAUAUGAAAUACAACUUUCUUAUCAAUGACACUUCUUUGCAUUCACUAUGUUACCUUUUUAUUUUCCGGUCAUCUUUUUAUGGAACGACGACCAAAACGAAACGGGCCCGAUCCGCAGCGCCCUCUUUAAAGCUCUUAUACCAUUUAUUUUAGCCCUAUAUUGCAAUGGCCGAUAUCAAAGUCCUGUUAUGGUAGAGUUUUAAGAUGGGGACAUUUCGCACCGAAUGUGGAUAACGAAUUCGUGUCAUUGCAGUAUGGGCUCAAAUCGUAAAACAGCGACAAAAAGUAAUUUUUUUUAAAAUGAAAUUGCUUUAAACACCCUGGAGAGUAAGAAUCACAAGUAAUUAAAAAAUUUGGCAACCCUGAUUAUUAGCAAACAGCUGAUAAUGUUUACAAAAUUUAAACAAAUGGUAAGCAGCAAACACAGCUGCAAUUUCAAGUAUUUCGUUGGUAAUAUAUUCUUUUAAGGAGUUUAAAUUUCAAUAACUUUUUAUAUGGAUUCUAAUGGUAGAGUUGUGUUUGGUUACCGGCUGAAUGUAAUCCUUUGAGAACGACCGCCUCCCAUUGCACCUGAAGAAAUUGACUUCCCCCGGUAAACCAGAGUAGUUCUAGCUCAAUUACGUUCCGGCAGAUGCAGCCGUCUCAACCCCUAAAGAACAAGGAUUGGUGCCGACGUGCAAGAUGUAUGUCCCGAUUGUAACCAGGGACCGCACGAAACACGUCAGCUGUUUAACUGCCCAGCCAGACCCACUCGACCCAGAUCCCCAUCUUAGUCGCAGAGUUCCUGGGCCUUGACACUCAACAGAAUCAAGCAGACGAAAGAUAGAACACAAUAAACUGCUACAACAACAACU
Molecule: RNA transcript, 3183 nt
Organism: Stomoxys calcitrans (stable fly)
Lineage: Eukaryota; Metazoa; Arthropoda; Insecta; Diptera; Muscidae
Gene: MFS17
Gene name: sialin
Exons: 4
Source: RefSeq, a predicted model, not a curated record